UAUUACUUUGACAGAUUAGUGUGAUGAUUUUAGAAUUCAUUUAUGUAAAUAUUACAGUAAUA
This 62-nucleotide transfer RNA is filed under the name Neobidessodes gutteridgei. RNAcentral describes it as "tRNA-Leu". The record is from RNAcentral. Lineage: Eukaryota; Metazoa; Arthropoda; Insecta; Coleoptera; Dytiscidae.